CACACAGAUUGAUCUGGCUCAGAUUGAACGCUGGCGGCAGGCUAACACAUGCAAUCGAGCGGAUGAAGAGAGCUUGCUCUCUGAUUCAGCGGCGGACGGGUGAGUAAUGCCUAGGAAUCUGCCUGGUAGUGGGGGACAACGUCUCGAAAGGGACGCUAAUACCGCAUACGUCCUACGGGAGAAAGCAGGGGACCUUCGGGCCUUGCGCUAUCAGAUGAGCCUAGGUCGGAUUAGCUAGUUGGUGAGGUAAUGGCUCACCAAGGCGACGAUCCGUAACUGGUCUGAGAGGAUGAUCAGUCACACUGGAACUAAGACACGCUCCAGACUCCUACGGGAGGCAGCAGUGGGGAAUUUGGACAAUGGGCGAAAGCUGAUCCAGCCAUGCCGCGUGUGUGAAGAAGGUCUUCGGAUUGUAAAGCACUUUAAGUUGGGAGGAAGGGCAGUAAAUUAAUACUUUGCUGUUUUGACGUUACCGACAGAAUAAGCACCGGCUAACUCUGUGCCAGCAGCCGCGGUAAUACAGAGGGUGCAAGCGUUAAUCGGAAUUACUGGGCGUAAAGCGCGCGUAGGUGGUUUGUUAAGUUGGAUGUGAAAGCCCCGGGCUCAACCUGGGAACUGCAUUCAAAACUGACANAGCUAGAGUAUGGUAGAGGGUGGUGGAAUUUCCUGUGUAGCGGUGAAAUGCGUAGAUAUAGGAAGGAAACACCAGUGGCGAAGGCGACCACCUGGACUGAUACUGACACUGAGGUGCGAAAGCGUUGGGGAGCAAACAGGAUUAGAUACCCUGGUAGUCCACGCCGUAACGAUGUCACUAGCCGUUGGGAGCCUUGAGCUCUUAGUGGCGCAGCUAACGCAUUAAGUUGACCGCCUGGGGAGUACGGCGCAAGUUAAAACUCAAAUGAAUUGACGGGGGCCCGCACAAGCGGUGGAGCAUGUGGUUUAAUUCGAAGCAACGCGAAGAACCUUACCAGGCCUUGACAUCCAAUGAACUUUCCAGAGAUGGAUUGGUGCCUUCGGGAACAUUGAGACAGGUGCUGCAUGGCUGUCGUCAGCUCGUGUCGUGAGAUGUUGGGUUAAGUCCCGUAACGAGCGCAACCCUUGUCCUUAGUUACCAGCACGUAAUGGUGGGCACUCUAAGGAGACUGCCGGUGACAAACCGGAGGAAGGUGGGGAUGACGUCAGUCAUCAUGGCCCUUACGGCCUGGGCUACACACGUGCUACAAUGGUC
Molecule: ribosomal RNA, 1228 nt
Filed under: Pseudomonas sp. BF6
Lineage: Bacteria; Pseudomonadati; Pseudomonadota; Gammaproteobacteria; Pseudomonadales; Pseudomonadaceae
Description: bacterial SSU rRNA
Rfam family: Bacterial small subunit ribosomal RNA
Source: RNAcentral